GAAAAUCUCAAAGUAACUAGGACCAUCCGCCGGCUUCAAAACCUCUGCUCUCUCCUUAUCUUCUUUUCUUCCUUCACUCUCUCUACCCUAGAGAUAUGUCUUCUCUUACCAAACCCUUAAUCAAGAAUUUAUCAAUGGCGACCAAUUCUUGCCUUAUCUCUCUUCCACCCUUCUUCACUACAACCAAAUCCAUGUCUUUUAUUUCAACCCCAUUAAAACCCAUCUCCCUUUCUUCCUCUUUAUCUCUUAAAAAGACCACUACCCAAUUCCCAUCUAUUGUUUCUGUAGUGGCUGCUCUGCAAGAUGAUGACAGCAGUGUUGGCCU
This 325-nucleotide unclassified non-coding RNA is filed under the name Hevea brasiliensis (rubber tree). The record is from RNAcentral. Lineage: Eukaryota; Viridiplantae; Streptophyta; Magnoliopsida; Malpighiales; Euphorbiaceae.